UACGAAGGGGGCUAGCGUUGCUCGGAAUUACUGGGCGUAAAGGGUGCGUAGGCGGGUCUUUAAGUCAGAGGUGAAAUCCUGGAGCUCAACUCCAGAACUGCCUUUGAUACUGAGGAUCUUGAGUUCGGGAGAGGUGAGUGGAACUGCGAGUGUAGAGGUGAAAUUCGUAGAUAUUCGCAAGAACACCAGUGGCGAAGGCGCUCACUGGCCCGAUACUGACGCUGAGG
RNAcentral lists this ribosomal RNA (227 nucleotides) under uncultured bacterium. RNAcentral's name for it is "partial 16S ribosomal RNA". It matches the Rfam family "Bacterial small subunit ribosomal RNA", at positions 524 to 751 of the family's 1533-position model. The record is from RNAcentral.